GUGGUAAGGAGACCAGAAGAUGU
RNAcentral lists this non-coding RNA (23 nucleotides) under Cricetulus griseus (Chinese hamster). The record is from RNAcentral. Lineage: Eukaryota; Metazoa; Chordata; Mammalia; Rodentia; Cricetidae.